RNAcentral lists this ribosomal RNA (484 nucleotides) under uncultured bacterium. Its description in RNAcentral is "partial 16S ribosomal RNA". It matches the Rfam family "Bacterial small subunit ribosomal RNA", at positions 29 to 507 of the family's 1533-position model. The record is from RNAcentral.
AUUGAACGCUGGCGGCAUGCUUUACUCAUGCCAGUCGAACGGCAGCGCGGGCUUCGGCCUGGCGGCGAGUGGCGAACGGGUGAGUAAUACAUCGGAACGUGCCCAGUAGUGGGGGAUAGCUCGGCGAAAGCCGGAUUAAUACCGCAUACGACCUGAGGGUGAAAGCGGGGGAUCUUCGGACCUCGCGCUAUUGGAGCGGCCGAUGGCAGAUCAGCUAGUUGGUGGGGUAAAGGCCUACCAAGGCGACGAUCUGUAGCUGGUCUGAGAGGACGACCAGCCACACUGGGACUGAGACACGGCCCAGACUCCUACGGGAGGCAGCAGUGGGGAAUUUUGGACAAUGGGCGAAAGCCUGAUCCAGCAAUGCCGCGUGUGUGAUGAAGGCCUUCGGGUUGUAAAGCACUUUUGGCGGGAACGAAAAGGACUGUGCCAAUACCACGGUUCGAUGACGGUACCCGCAGAAUAAGCACCGGCUAACUACGUG